UUGGGCAAUGGGCGAAAGCCUGACCCAGCAACGCCGCGUGAGGGAUGAAGUAUUUCGGUAUGUAAACCUCGAAAGAAUGGGAAGAAUAAAUGACGGUACCAUUUAUAAGCUCCGGCUAACUACGUGCCAGCAGCCGCGGUAAUACGUAGGGAGCAAGCGUUGUUCGGAUUUACUGGGCGUAAAGGGCGCGUAGGCGGCGCGGUAAGUCACUUGUGAAAUCUCUGAGCUUAACUCAGAACGGCCAAGUGAUACUGCUGUGCUAGAGUGCGGAAGAGGCAACCGUAAUUCUUGGUGUAGCGGUGAAAUGCGUAGAUAUCAAGAGGAACACCAGAGGCGAAGGCGGGUUGCUGGGCUGACACUGACGCUGAUGUGCGAAAGCCAGGGGA
RNAcentral lists this ribosomal RNA (386 nucleotides) under uncultured bacterium. RNAcentral describes it as "bacterial SSU rRNA". It matches the Rfam family "Bacterial small subunit ribosomal RNA", at positions 364 to 767 of the family's 1533-position model. The record is from RNAcentral.